GGUCAUACACUUCAAAGGAAACAACUGUUGAGUUUAACCUCCUUGAGCUACCAUGGAUUCCUUUACGAUUUUUCUUCAAACACUUUCAUCCCGAACAAAAAUGCAGACUGAUAAGAUUCAUGUUUGUUUUUCUAUUUUGUCCGUUUAUUAAGAUGACAAAUAUCCCCACUGCCUCACGCUGCUCCUGCUCCUCCAAGCCUGCGCUGUCAACUCACACUGCUGUGGCAUCGGCACUCCUCCAGAAACACCGCCUGCUGGAGUCCUCCACCUGAUACGUCUCCCUGCAAAUCUCUCAGUAUGCUUGUCGACAAUGUGAAAAACUCCUUCAGUCAAAAAAAAAAAAAAAAGAAAGAAGAAAUUAGCACAUUCAAUGAUACAUGGGUCUGGUGCUAUGUUGCACAGUUCAGUGAACCCCUGCACAGAUCAGCAAGAUGGCUGGAAAUGUCUCUUUCCGUCUGUUUUUCGUCUCAAAGCCUGUGUACUCAGCAGAGUGUGAAGAGUGCCUCUCUCCCCUCCGAACGCUCUCCCGCUCGCCCCCCCAAAAGACCCUGCAGCAGAGAACAGGAACUAGAGCAAAUGCUUUUGUGAAUUAAGAGAUCUUGUGAGCGUAAAUUUGGUCAGGCUGCUCCUUUCUGCAGGCCAGACCCGGCUGCUGCCCCAGGAUGUGAACUGUCAGUUUGCAUAGCUGGUGAUGAGUUGCAGAACCAUCAGUAAAGGUGAAGACGGCAGAAGCAAGAAAGAUUCAAGACUGGUGGAAAUCAUUUCACAAGGAAAAUUUCAGCCAUCAGUGGGAGGAAGCUUUGAAAAAUGCUGCCAUUUCCGAGUCAGAACGAAGGAAAAAUUAAAUUACUGCCGGUGAGGCGAGCCAAAGUCGCAUCUUCCCCUAGGGAGAGGUUUGAUAAUGGUAAACAUUUGACAGCUGGCCUGAAGUUGUUAUCUUGUUCUAACAGUUGUUAUAGUCUGAAUGAACAUUUCUGAUAAGAGAACAGAAAGAAAAACGCCAAACCAUUUUUAAUUUCUCACCUUCUAUAUUUUAAGCUGCACUGCCCAAAGCCAACCAGGUUGGAAGCAGUUUGCCACCAGCAGCCGCUCACAGCGGAGCUGACACGGAGCAGAGGAUUCCGGUGUGAAGCUGCUGGCAGCGCCCAGCUGGGCCGGCAGCACGUGGGCAGGGAUUCAGGAUAGCUGCAGCCCGCCUGCUUUGGGUAUCGUGCAAAUAUCCACUCUGCUUCACAACCAGCAGCUACAGGAAUUAAUCACUACGUUGGAGUGAGAUUGAGAGAACUGAUCGAUUUAAGAAUUCAACUUCAAGAUCUACCCCAAAGUCUUCUUUCUUUAUCACUUCACCUCCAGCUGCUGGAGCACAACCACACCAAGUCACUGCCAUCACCUCACAAAGAACAACCAGACAGCCAAGGUAUAAAGGUAACAACCCCGGUUCCACCUGACCAGAGCAGUAAUGAAUGAAAACCAGUUCUGUUUAAGCAGAAAAAGUAUGCUAUCUUCACAGGAAAUUUAAUUAUACCCAAGGUUUUUGUGCUCGGUUGUUGCUGACAAAGCCUGUAUUGAAGAGGGAACUACAGCUCUGCUCUGCACUGCUGCUCACAGCUCCUCCCUUAGAAAAAUACAGUUUGGAUAUGGAAAGUACAUUACAUGUAUGUCAGAACCAAACUGCCAUCCUGGAAGCGAGACUCUUCUGGAGGGGGAAAUCAGGAAUGUAUUUCUAAGCUGUUUAACUAAGGCAGCUUAACCUCUCAGAACACAUGCACUAAACAUUUACCUCCCAUUAAAAAUAAUUAAGAUGAAUAUGUA
Gallus gallus (chicken) is the source of this 1812-nucleotide long non-coding RNA. RefSeq lists it as uncharacterized. NCBI's taxonomy places the organism in Eukaryota, Metazoa, Chordata, Aves, Galliformes, Phasianidae. The transcript is spliced from 2 exons. The record is from RefSeq and is a predicted model, not a curated record.